AAAAACAUGGCCUCUCGGAAUUGAAACAAGAGAGGUCUAACCUGCCCGGUGAGCGUGUCUUAAACGGUUGCGACUUAGUCGUAUUGAGGUAGCAUAAUAAUUAGUCUUUUAAUUGGGGGAUGGAAUGAAUGGUUGAAUGAUGGGGUGUCUUUAUUAGUAGUAUAAAUUCGAAGUUUUCUUUUAAGUGAAAAGACUUAAAUUUUUUUGUUAGACGAUAAGACCCUAUUGAGCUUGAUAAUUUCUAUCAAUUUCUUGGUAUAAAUAAUUUUAAUCGGGACGGAUUGGAAGAUAAAAAAUGUCUUCUUACUAAUAUAAAGAUCCAGCAUGGCUGAUAAGAAGAAGAUAGCUACCAUAGGGAUAACAGCGCAAUCCUCUUUUAGAGGUCUUAUUAAGAGGGGGGCUUGCGACCUC
RNAcentral lists this ribosomal RNA (411 nucleotides) under Donax vittatus. RNAcentral's name for it is "partial 16S ribosomal RNA". It matches the Rfam family "Bacterial large subunit ribosomal RNA", at positions 1809 to 2527 of the family's 2925-position model. The record is from RNAcentral. Lineage: Eukaryota; Metazoa; Mollusca; Bivalvia; Cardiida; Donacidae.